GCUCAGUCUGAUAAGCUCAGUUGGUAGAGCAUGAGACUCUUUACCUCAUGGUUGUGGGUUUGAGCCCCAUGUUGGGCG
Molecule: non-coding RNA, 78 nt
Organism: Podarcis lilfordi (Lilford's wall lizard)
Lineage: Eukaryota; Metazoa; Chordata; Lepidosauria; Squamata; Lacertidae
Source: the annotation of a GenBank genome assembly